Molecule: ribosomal RNA, 119 nt
Filed under: Pteropus alecto (black flying fox)
Lineage: Eukaryota; Metazoa; Chordata; Mammalia; Chiroptera; Pteropodidae
Source: RNAcentral
GUCUAUGGCCAUGCCAUCCUGAACACGUCCGAUCUCGUCUGAUCUUGGAAGCUAAGCAGGGUCGGGCCCAGUUAGUACUCGGAUGGGAGACUAUCUAGGAAGACCAGGCGCUAUAGGCA